Molecule: ribosomal RNA, 438 nt
Filed under: bacterium CPTAC17B
Lineage: Bacteria
Description: bacterial SSU rRNA
Rfam family: Bacterial small subunit ribosomal RNA
Source: RNAcentral
UUGGAACGCGAGGAACCUUACCAGGUCUUGACAUCCUCUGACAAUCCUAGAGAUAGGACGUCCCCUUCGGGGGCAGAGUGACAGGUGGUGCAUGGUUGUCGUCAGCUCGUGUCGUGAGAUGUUGGGUUAAGUCCCGCAACGAGCGCAACCCUUGAUCUUAGUUGCCAGCAUUCAGUUGGGCACUCUAAGGUGACUGCCGGUGACAAACCGGAGGAAGGUGGGGAUGACGUCAAAUCAUCAUGCCCCUUAUGACCUGGGCUACACACGUGCUACAAUGGACAGAACAAAGGGCAGCGAAACCGCGAGGUUAAGCCAAUCCCACAAAUCUGUUCUCAGUUCGGAUCGCAGUCUGCAACUCGACUGCGUGAAGCUGGAAUUGCGAGUAAUCGCGGAUCACAUGCCGCGGUGAAUACAUUCCCGGGUCUUGUACACACGCAA